AACCUUACCUACCCUUGACAUGGAUGGAAUCCUGAAGAGAUUUGGGAGUGCUCGAAAGAGAACCAUCACACAGGUGCUGCAUGGCUGUCGUCAGCUCGUGUCGUGAGAUGUUGGGUUAAGUCCCGCAACGAGCGCAACCCUUGUCAUUAGUUGCUACGAAAGGGCACUCUAAUGAGACUGCCGGUGACAAACCGGAGGAAGGUGGGGAUGACGUCAAGUCCUCAUGGCCCUUAUGGGUAGGGCUUCACACGUCAUACAAUGGUACAUACUUGAGGGCCGCCAACCCGCGAGGGGGAGCUAAUCCCAGAAAGCGCCUCCUAUCCGGAUUGGAGUCUGCAACUCGACUCCAUGAAGUUGGAAUCGCUAGUAAUCGCGGAU
RNAcentral lists this ribosomal RNA (378 nucleotides) under Herbaspirillum sp. CAR42. RNAcentral describes it as "bacterial SSU rRNA". It matches the Rfam family "Bacterial small subunit ribosomal RNA", at positions 967 to 1349 of the family's 1533-position model. The record is from RNAcentral. Lineage: Bacteria; Pseudomonadati; Pseudomonadota; Betaproteobacteria; Burkholderiales; Oxalobacteraceae.